This 497-nucleotide ribosomal RNA is filed under the name uncultured bacterium. RNAcentral describes it as "partial 16S ribosomal RNA". It matches the Rfam family "Bacterial small subunit ribosomal RNA", at positions 30 to 523 of the family's 1533-position model. The record is from RNAcentral.
AUUGAACGCUGGCGGCAUGCCUUACACAUGCAAGUCGAACGGUAACAGGUCUUCGGAUGCUGACGAGUGGCGAACGGGUGAGAAUACAUCGGAACGUGCCUAGUAGUGGGGGAUAACUACUCGAAAGAGUGGCUAAUACCGCAUGAGAUCUACGGAUGAAAGCAGGGGAUCGCAAGACCUUGUGCUACUAGAGCGGCCGAUGGCAGAUUAGGUAGUUGGUGGGAUAAAAGCUUACCAAGCCGACGAUCUGUAGCUGGUCUGAGAGGACGAUCAGCCACACUGGGACUGAGACACGGCCCAGACUCCUACGGGAGGCAGCAGUGGGGAAUUUCGGACAAUGGGCGAAAGCCUGAUCCAGCAAUGCCGCGUGCAGGAUGAAGGCCUUCGGGUUGUAAACUGCUUUUGUACGGAACGAAAAGCCCCGGGUUAAUACCCUGGGGUCAUGACGGUACCGUAAGAGUAAGCACCGGCUAACUACGUGCCAGCAGCCGCGGUAA